Molecule: long non-coding RNA, 651 nt
Organism: Micropterus salmoides (largemouth bass)
Lineage: Eukaryota; Metazoa; Chordata; Actinopteri; Centrarchiformes; Centrarchidae
Exons: 2
Source: RefSeq, a predicted model, not a curated record
GCGCUGUUGGUCGUUAUCAUUCCAUAUUCAUUUCCAUCGUCGUGCGCGUGCCAGGUGGAGUAAAUCCGCGGUGCUCGAGACCAGAAACGUCCCGCGUCAAGCUUCGGGCUCCACGGCAGUAAACCCCCUCCCCCGCCCGAUGGAGAUUUGGUUGAGAGCUGUUCCUAAGGACAAGAAUUCACUUUUAUGCUAAAAGGAACUGCAUCCAAGUGGGACUCAAUUAUGUGACUGUCAUCUGGCCAGAGUCUUCCACAAGGACUCACUUACCACAAAUCACUUAGCACCUUAAGAUCUCUGCUGAAACAGCAAGGGCUCUGGACAAGAGACUGAAUGAACACCAGGAGCAGGACAACAUCACACCAAAACAAAUCUGCUCACAGAAUUGACCUAGAAGAGGUCAAUGGUCAUCGGCCAGGUCACUGGAUAACUGGAGAAAGAUCAGAGAGGCCUUUCACAUCUAACACCGAAGACCAUCUUUGAACAGAGACAUCUCUGCUCCAUAUAGGACAGCACAUUGUCAUGUAACCAAUGUUCUACACUCAACUUAUAUUAUGUUAUACUGAGCAAUCUCCAUCUGAUGAGGAAGACCAUAAGAUGCAGCUGAAAACUCUGUUAAAAAGCUAACCAUAUGAAUAAAGUGUGAUGACCUUA